UAGGGAAUCUUCGGCAAUGGACGAAAGUCUGACCGAGCAACGCCGCGUGAGUGAAGAAGGUUUUCGGAUCGUAAAACUCUGUUGUUAGAGAAGAACAAGGACGUUAGUAACUGAACGUCCCCUGACGGUAUCUAACCAGAAAGCCACGGCUAACUACGUGCCAGCAGCCGCGGUAAUACGUAGGUGGCAAGCGUUGUCCGGAUUUAUUGGGCGUAAAGCGAGCGCAGGCGGUUUCUUAAGUCUGUUGUGAAAGCCCCCGGCUCAACCGGGGAGGGUCCUUGGAACCUGGGAGACUUGAGUGCAGAAGAGGAGAGUGGAAUUCCAUGUGUAGCGGUGAAAUGCGUAAAUAUAUGGAGGAACACCAGUGGCGAAGGCGGCUCUCUGGUCUGUAACUGACGAUGAGGCUCGAAAGCGUGGGGAGCAAACAGG
Molecule: ribosomal RNA, 429 nt
Filed under: Gemmatimonadota bacterium
Lineage: Bacteria; Pseudomonadati; Gemmatimonadota
Description: Gemmatimonadetes bacterium partial 16S ribosomal RNA
Rfam family: Bacterial small subunit ribosomal RNA
Source: RNAcentral